UUUUGUCCCAGAUUGGUACUCAAACUUUUUUUUCGUUAACUAAAUAAGUACCUAAGCCUAACACCGUUAAGUUCAGGACAAAUAGCGGAAUAAGAUUGUGACAUGUAACAUAAAUGACGUCAUGAUGUUGUUAUAAUCUAAAAUUUUUUUAAAACUUAUCUAUUUUAUUUUUGCUCCCCUAAAUUUUUUUGUUUGUGUAAUUAAUUUUCUUUCUUCUUUUUUUUGUUUCUUCUAUCAUUUCUUCUUCUUCUUUCUCCCUCAGCCCAAGUUUCUCUUCUUUUUCUUUUCUUUUUUGUAAAAUUUUCGUUAAAAAGUUCUUGAGCCGCUCCACCCAGUUCAGUUCACUCAUCUUUUCCUCCUUAAGGUCUUUAGAAGUGACGGACGUCGUCAUCGAAAUAGCAGCCGCAACAUCGCUACGCCACGGCAAUACCAAUCUGCUGAUAUUCUCUUUGGAUUUGCUGUAAGGUAAGAGGAGGCAUGAUUAAUUGAUUCUAAGUAUUAGAUUGAUAGGUGAAGGUUCCAUCUUUGGGUUUCAUUUUCUUUUCGAGGUUUAAUAAUAUGAUGAGAUGAUUAAUAUUAUAACAAUUAAUUUGACCUCCGACAACUCUCUUAUUAGAUUUCUUGUUUGCUUGUGUUUGUUUGAUCAGUCUUUUCCCAGAUUCAGAUAAUGCCCAAUAAGAGUUCUUCAGCAAUACUAGAAAAUAAGAGGGGGGGGGGGGAAUGCUACUGUGGAACAAAAGACACCUUCAACUCCAAAAAUGGCUGCUAAUGAAAUUGAUGAGAUAUUAAAGGGAAAAAUUUGAGAAACCAAAGUCGAUGAAGAAGGAUACAAAAGUAAAAGGAAACUUGUAAAAUUUCUAACAUAAAUUUAGAAAAUAUUUCAAGCAAUCAUCUUUUAGCAAAUUUCUUUUGGUUCCAAGCGGCAGACAAUGCGCCACGAAAAAGGCUCUCACUGUUGAAAGAAAAUUAAUUACACAAACAUAAAAAAUGGACGAGAGUCAGUCUUUGUGGGUUCGUUUGAAAAGGGGGGAAGUGGUGGGGGUUGGUUGAUGGUGGCUGAAAAAUGAGGAGGAAAAUGAAAAGGGUUUAAGAGAUGUGAUUUUGGUGGUGAUUGGAUGGUGAGAAAAUGAGGGAAAAUUUUAGGGAUUCUUGAUAGAAGAAAGAUGGAGUGUAGAAGCAAGGUCAGAAAAAGAAAAAUAAGAAAAGAAAAAGGGAGGAAAAUAAGAGAAAAUAAAAAAUAAAAUAAAAAUAAAAAGAGGUACAAGAGGAUGCCAUGUGGUGGUACGUGAUUGGCCAGUACUGUCACAUCAGUAAAAAUUAACGACGUUAGACUCGAGUACCAAUUUAGUUGACGAAAAAAAAUUCAAGUACUAAUCUCGGACAAAAAAAAUCAUAAGUACCAAUUUGAGAGAAGUUGACAAGUUUGGGUAUAAAUUUUAUAUUUAGCCCUUCUUUAAAUUAAGACUUUUUUUUAAUUUCACGUAUUAUUUAUUUU
This 1495-nucleotide long non-coding RNA is filed under the name Gossypium raimondii (Peruvian cotton). RNAcentral describes it as "long non-coding RNA (GRAI_LNC009599)". Lineage: Eukaryota; Viridiplantae; Streptophyta; Magnoliopsida; Malvales; Malvaceae. The record is from RNAcentral.